UAAUACCAGCAGUUCAAGUCGCAUCCCUUUUUAUUGGGUCUAAAACAUCCGUAGCUUGUUAUAUAAGUCUCUUGUGAAAUCCCACGUCUCAAGCGUGGGAAUGGCAGGAGAUACUGUACAGCUAGAGAUCGGUAGACGUAAGCAGUACGCCGGAGGUAAUGGUAAAAUAUGUUAAUCUUCGGUGGACUAACAAUCAGCGAAGGCAGCUUACGAGGACGAAUCUGACAGUCAGGGAUGAAGGCCAGGGGCGCAAAACGGAUUAGAUACCCGUGUAGUCCUGGCAGUAAACGCUGCUCACUAAACAUUGGGCCCUCUUCGGGAGGAUUCAGUGCUGAAGCGGAGGCGAAGAGUGAGCUACCUGGGAAGUAUAGUCGCAAGAUCG
Molecule: ribosomal RNA, 382 nt
Filed under: uncultured euryarchaeote
Lineage: Archaea; Methanobacteriati; Methanobacteriota
Description: bacterial SSU rRNA
Rfam family: Archaeal small subunit ribosomal RNA
Source: RNAcentral